UCUAAAGAACUAUUUUGUGAUUCAAAGUCCCCUUUUAGAAGAGCGAAAGAUACAUUCAACCUUCUGCGAGAUGAUUCAAAGGACAUGAAGAAGACUGUCAUUCCUUCAAAGUUUUCUCCAGGACAAAUGCACAAUUUUUCUCCAUUAAAAGAUCCUGGGAAGAUCUAUUUAUUGGCUGUAAUGCGACAGUAAUUUAUUUAUGCUUAAACUUAAUCAGAUAUAUGAGUGAAUGAUCUUUGUUACAAAAGCAAAUUGCUACUCUAAACACAAAAUAUUUCUUUAUGGUUUGAU
RNAcentral lists this long non-coding RNA (291 nucleotides) under Homo sapiens (human). RNAcentral's name for it is "HSALNT0140980". Lineage: Eukaryota; Metazoa; Chordata; Mammalia; Primates; Hominidae. The record is from RNAcentral.